AGAAUGUGGACCUAAUAAUAGAAGUUUAAAUCUUCUUAGUGACCGA
This 46-nucleotide transfer RNA is filed under the name Carlia amax. RNAcentral describes it as "partial tRNA-His". The record is from RNAcentral. Lineage: Eukaryota; Metazoa; Chordata; Lepidosauria; Squamata; Scincidae.